This 456-nucleotide ribosomal RNA is filed under the name uncultured bacterium. RNAcentral's name for it is "bacterial SSU rRNA". It matches the Rfam family "Bacterial small subunit ribosomal RNA", at positions 340 to 786 of the family's 1533-position model. The record is from RNAcentral.
UACGGAAGGCAGUAGUGGGGAAUAUUGGACAAUGGGCGCAAGCCUGAUCCAGCCAUGCCGCGUGUGUGAAGAAGGCCUUCGGGUUGUAAAGCACUUUUGUCCGGAAAGAAAAGCUUAGGGUUAAUAACCUUGAGUCAUGACGGUACCGGAAGAAUAAGCACCGGCUAACUUCGUGCCAGCAGCCGCGGUAAUACGAAGGGUGCAAGCGUUACUCGGAAUUACUGGGCGUAAAGCGUGCGUAGGUGGUUUGUUAAGUCUGAUGUGAAAGCCCUGGGCUCAACCUGGGAAUGGCAUUGGAAACUGGCUUACUAGAGUGCGGUAGAGGGGUGUGGAAUUCCCGGUGUAGCAGUGAAAUGCGUAGAUAUCGGGAGGAACAUCUGUGGCGAAAGGCGACACCCUGGACCAGCACUGACACUGAGGCACGAAAGCGUGGGGAGCAAACAGGGAUUAGAUACC